GGCGAGGUGGCGGAAUUGGUAGACGCGCUACUUUGAGGUGGUAGUGUCAAUUGCGACGUGUGGGUUCGAGUCCCAUCUUCGUCA
This 84-nucleotide transfer RNA is filed under the name Candidatus Physcousia equi. Its description in RNAcentral is "tRNA-Leu". It matches the Rfam family "tRNA". From Rfam's summary of the family: Transfer RNA (tRNA) molecules are approximately 80 nucleotides in length. Their secondary structure includes four short double-helical elements and three loops (D, anti-codon, and T loops). The record is from RNAcentral. Lineage: Bacteria; Pseudomonadati; Bacteroidota; Bacteroidia; Bacteroidales; Paludibacteraceae.